This 77-nucleotide transfer RNA is filed under the name Candidatus Rokuibacteriota bacterium. Its description in RNAcentral is "tRNA-Arg". It matches the Rfam family "tRNA". Rfam says of the family: Transfer RNA (tRNA) molecules are approximately 80 nucleotides in length. Lineage: Bacteria; Candidatus Rokuibacteriota. The record is from RNAcentral. RNAcentral also lists the same sequence under 1 other name.
GCGCCCGUAGCUCAGUUGGACAGAGCGUCGGACUUCGAAUCCGAAGGUCGCAGGUUCGAUCCCUGCCGGGCGCACCA